Boleophthalmus pectinirostris (great blue-spotted mudskipper) is the source of this 2332-nucleotide RNA transcript. It is a transcript of the gene named lon protease homolog, mitochondrial-like, with no coding region annotated. The transcript is spliced from 16 exons. The record is from RefSeq and is a predicted model, not a curated record. Lineage: Eukaryota; Metazoa; Chordata; Actinopteri; Gobiiformes; Gobiidae.
GACAGACAUGGCGGCCUACAGACUCGCGGGUGCUGUGUGUCUCCGCGGAUGGGCUCUGGUGCCCCGGCACUGCCUCAGCCGACCGGGCAGCGGUCUCAGGGGCUUCAGCGGGCUCAGAGGCACGGUCCUCAGGGCGGACACGGAAUCCGCUCUCCGCGCGGCUGUAGCGGGGUGUAGACUGCGACCCCCGCUGUGGAGCCAGGACAUAAGCGCCCCCUCCCGAUACCGACUAACGCCGGCCCGGGCUUUUGGGAACCGAGUCAGUGGAGAGGACAGCGCCAACAGCGGAGCGCCCGGGUGAGAGGAGCCCGGAGGAGAUGGAGACGGCGGCGGAUACAACGGCCCUCACAUGACCGCCCUGACUCCCAUGAUGGUUCCGGAGGUGUUCCCCAACGUACCGCUGAUCGCCGUCAGUAGAAACCCGGUGUUUCCCCGUUUCAUCAAGAUCACUGAGGUUAAGAACCCGGAGCUGAUGGAGCUGCUGAGGCGGAAGGUGCGCCUAGCACAGCCCUAUGCCGGAGUCUUCCUCAAGAGAGAAGACAGUAACGAGUCAGAUGUGGUGGAGACUCUGGACUCCAUCUACACCACCGGGACCUUUGUGCAGAUCCAUGAGAUGCAGGACCUGGGGGACAAGCUGCGUAUGAUUGUAAUGGGCCACCGCAGAAUCCGGAUCACUCGGCAGCUGGAUGUGGAGCCAGAGGAGCCCACAGUGUCCCCAGACUCAGAGCCUCAGCCCAAAGCAGCCCUGUCCCUGCGCAGGAAAGGCAAACGGGUGCGCAGGGACCCCCCGGCGAGCCUUGCAGAGCAGUUGGAGGACAAGAUCUCUGAAGCAGAUCUUAGCCCUGAGCUGCACCCUCUGCCCUCCUCCUCCAUCCUCAUGGUAGAGGUGGACAACAUCCAGUACCAGAGCUUCACUGUCACCGAGGAGGUCAAGGCUCUGACGGCCGAAAUUGUGAAAACCAUCAGGGACAUCAUCGCUCUGAACCCCCUGUACAGGGAAUCUGUGCUGCAGAUGAUGCAGGCAGGACAGAGGGUCGUGGAUAACCCCAUCUACCUGAGCGACAUGGGGGUCGCCCUGACUGGAGCCGAGUCCCAUGAGCUGCAGGAGAUUUUGGAGGAGACUGACAUUCCCAAGAGGCUCUACAAGGCCCUGUCUCUGCUCAAGAAGGAGUACGAGCUGAGUAAACUUCAGCAGCGGCUGGGCAGAGAGGUGGAGGAGAAGAUCAAGCAGACCCACAGAAAAUACAUGCUGCAGGAACAACUCAAGAUCAUCAAGAAGGAGCUGGGUCUGGAGAAGGAGGACAAAGACGCAAUAGAGGAGAAGUUCAGAGAGCGUCUCAAAACACGGACGGUUCCUCAGCAUGUGAUGGAGGUCAUCACUGAGGAGCUCAACAAACUCAGCCUGCUCGACAACCACUUGUCUGAGUUCAAUGUAACCGGAAAUUAUCUGGACUGGCUGACCAGCAUGCCCUGGGGCAGUAACAGCGAGGAGAACCUGUCUUUAACUCGAGCCCGCGAAGUGCUGGAUGAAGAUCACUACGGUAUGGACGACGUGAAGAAAAGGAUCCUGGAGUUUAUCGCGGUGAGCCAGCUCAGGGGCUCCACUCAGGGGAAGAUCCUGUGCUUCUAUGGGCCCCCGGGUGUGGGAAAGACCUCCAUUGCCCGCUCCACUGGCCGCGCCCUCAACCGCGAGUACUUCCGCUUCAGUGUGGGUGGCAUGACUGAUGUGGCCGAAAUCAAAGGACACAGGAGGACCUAUGUAGGGGCCGUGCCAGGGAAGAUAAUCCAGCGCUUGAAGAAAACCAAGACAGAGAACCCUCUGGUGCUCAUAGAUGAGGUGGAUAAGAUGGGCCGGGGGUAUCGGGGGGACCCAUCCUCUGCCCUGCUGGAGCUGCUGGACCCUGAGCAGAUUGCCAACUUUCUGGACCAUUACCUGGAUGUGCCCGUGGAUCUGUCCAAGUGCGGCCCCGCAGAGCCCGGCCCCGGCGCUAACUCCUCUGUGGAGCCCAGUGGAAACCGGUGCUGUUUGAGAUCUUUGGGGAAAUUUGGACUGUGCAAGCCCGGCUUGGGCAGGGGGUGUCCGCCUCCGUGUACCAGGUGAGCUCCGGGAGAGCCAGCACCGCAGCUGUCAAAGAGUUUCAAGCCGAGUCUCAUGGAGGGGACUACGGAGCGUGCUGGAAGGGAUCCAGGGACACAAGAACAUCGUGACACUGUACGGAGUGUUCACACACCACAGCAGCCUAGGGGUGCCCACACGCUGUCUGCUGCUGGAGCUGCUGGACGUGAGUGUGUCCGAGCUGCUGCUGAGGGCCGGGGCCCCACACUGCCACAG